RNAcentral lists this ribosomal RNA (559 nucleotides) under uncultured SAR116 cluster alpha proteobacterium. RNAcentral's name for it is "bacterial SSU rRNA". It matches the Rfam family "Bacterial small subunit ribosomal RNA", at positions 338 to 916 of the family's 1533-position model. The record is from RNAcentral. Lineage: Bacteria; Pseudomonadati; Pseudomonadota; Alphaproteobacteria; Puniceispirillales (SeqCode).
CCUACGGGAGGCAGCAGGGGGGAAUAUUGGACAAUGGGGGAAACCCUGAUCCAGCAAUGCCGCGUGCGUGAAGAAGGCCCUAGGGUUGUAAAGCGCUUUCACCUGCGAGGAUGAUGACAGUAGCAGGAGAAGAAGCCCCGGCUAACUUCGUGCCAGCAGCCGCGGUAAUACGAAGGGGGCGAGCGUUGUUCGGAAUUACUGGGCGUAAAGGGCGCGUAGGCGGUCUUUUAAGUCAGGCGUGAAAGCCCCGGGCUCAACCCGGGAACUGCGCUUAAGACUGGAAGACUAGAAAACGGAAGAGGGUAGUGGAAUUCCCAGUGUAGAGGUGAAAUUCGUAGAUAUUGGGAAGAACACCAGUGGCGAAAGCGGCCACCUGGUCCGAUUUUGACGCUGAGGCGCGAAAGCGUGGGGAGCAAACAGGAUUAGAUACCCUGGUAGUCCACGCCGUAAACGAUGUCUGCUAGAUGUCGGGGGGUUGCCCCUCGGUGUCGCCACUAACGCAUUAAGCAGACCGCCUGGGAAGUACGGUCGCAAGAUUAAAACUCAAAUGAAUUGACGG